AUUGAACGCUGGCGGCAGGCCUAACACAUGCAAGUCGAGCGGAUGAAGGGAGCUUGCUCCUGGAUUCAGCGGCGGACGGGUGGGUAAUGCCUAGGAAUCUGCCUGGUAGUGGGGGAUAACGUCCGGAAACGGGCGCUAAUACCGCAUACGUCCUGAGGGAGAAAGGGGGGGAUCUUCGGACCUCACGCUAUCAGAUGAGCCUAGGUCGGAUUAGCUAGUUGGUGGGGUAAAGGCCUACCAAGGCGACGAUCCGUAACUGGUCUGAGAGGAUGAUCAGUCACACUGGAACUGAGACACGGUCCAGACUCCUACGGGAGGCAGCAGUGGGGAAUAUUGGACAAUGGGCGAAAGCCUGAUCCAGCCAUGCCGCGUGUGUGAAGAAGGUCUUCGGAUUGUAAAGCACUUUAAGUUGGGAGGAAGGGCAGUAAGUUAAUACCUUGCUGUUUUGACGUUACCAACAGAAUAAGCACCGGCUAACUUCGUG
This 484-nucleotide ribosomal RNA is filed under the name uncultured bacterium. RNAcentral describes it as "partial 16S ribosomal RNA". It matches the Rfam family "Bacterial small subunit ribosomal RNA", at positions 30 to 507 of the family's 1533-position model. The record is from RNAcentral.